GACGAGCCACACGAACGUUAUUCGGAAUUACUGGGCUUAAAGAGUUCGUAGGCGGCAUGAAAAGUAGGGUGUGAAAGCCCUCGGCUCAACCGAGGAAUUGCGCUCUAAACUGUCGUGCUAGAGGAAGCUAGAGGUGAGCGGAACUGAUGGUGGAGCGGUGAAAUGCGUUGAUAUCAUCAGGAACACCGGAGGCGAAGGCGGCUCACUGGGGCUUUUCUGACGCUGAGGAACGAAAGCCAGGGUAGCGAACGGG
RNAcentral lists this ribosomal RNA (253 nucleotides) under uncultured bacterium. RNAcentral describes it as "partial 16S ribosomal RNA". It matches the Rfam family "Bacterial small subunit ribosomal RNA", at positions 524 to 776 of the family's 1533-position model. The record is from RNAcentral.